ACCUGAUGAUGUGGACAUUGAUGAAGUAGGUCCCUAAAACACUCCUAAGUCUUAAAGAAAAAUUCCCCAUCCGUUUGUGUGAAACUUGUGAUUGCCCUUCGCAGCU
Malania oleifera is the source of this 106-nucleotide small nucleolar RNA. NCBI's taxonomy places the organism in Eukaryota, Viridiplantae, Streptophyta, Magnoliopsida, Santalales, Ximeniaceae. The record is from RefSeq and is a predicted model, not a curated record.